Molecule: ribosomal RNA, 451 nt
Filed under: uncultured bacterium
Lineage: Bacteria
Description: bacterial SSU rRNA
Rfam family: Bacterial small subunit ribosomal RNA
Source: RNAcentral
CGAACGGCAGGCACGGGAGCAAUCCGNGUGGCGAGUGGCGAACGGGUGAGUAAUAUAUCGGAACGUGCCCGGUCGUGGGGGAUAACGUAGCGAAAAGCUACGCUAAUACCGCAUACGAUCUACGGAUGAAAGCGGGGAUCGCAAGACCUCGCGCGAUUGGAGCGGCCGAUAUCAGAUUAGGGUAGUUGGUGAGGUAAAGGCUCACCAAGCCGACGAUCUGUAGCUGGUCUGAGAGGACGACCAGCCACACUGGGACUGAGACACGGCCCAGACUCCUACGGGAGGCAGCAGUGGGGAAUUUUGGACAAUGGGCGCAAGCCUGAUCCAGCAAUGCCGCGUGCAGGAUGAAGGCCUUCGGGUUGUAAACUGCUUUUGUACGGAACGAAACGGUGAGCUCUAAUACAGUUUGCUAAUGACGGUACCGUAAGAAUAAGCACCGGCUAACUACGUG